Molecule: ribosomal RNA, 435 nt
Filed under: uncultured bacterium
Lineage: Bacteria
Description: bacterial SSU rRNA
Rfam family: Bacterial small subunit ribosomal RNA
Source: RNAcentral
GCACAAUGGGGGAAACCCUGAUGCAGCCAUGCCGCGUGUGUGAAGAAGGCCUUCGGGUUGUAAAGCACUUUCAGUAGGGAGGAAGGUAGUGUAGUUAACACCUGCAUUAUUUGACGUUACCUACAGAAGAAGCACCGGCUAACUCCGUGCCAGCAGCCGCGGUAAUACGGAGGGUGCGAGCGUUAAUCGGAAUUACUGGGCGUAAAGCGCAUGCAGGCGGCCUGUUAAGUCAGAUGUGAAAGCCCGGGGCUUAACCUCGGAAUUGCAUUUGAAACUGGCAGGCUAGAGUCUUGUAGAGGGGGUAGAAUUUCAGGUGUAGCGGUGAAAUGCGUAGAGAUCUGAAGGAAUACCAGUGGCGAAGGCGGCCCCCUGGACAAAGACUGACGCUCAGAUGCGAAAGCGUGGGGAGCAAACAGGAUUAGAUACCCCUGGUAG